GGAGGUAGUGACAAUAAAUCUCAAUACGAAGCCUUUGGUUUUGUAAUUGAAUUGAGAACAAUGUACAAUCGUUAUCGAUAAACAAUUGGAGGGCAAGUCUGGUGCCAGCAGCCGCGGUAAUUCCAGCUCCAAUAGCGUAUAUUAACGUUGUUGCAGUUAAAAAGCUCGUAGUUGAAGUUUAGAUGGUUUGAAGGGGGUGUUAGUAUCAAUGGUACUAUCUGCUCUCUUUGGAUUAUCGACUUCCAGGUAAGUAUAAUGUACCUUUCGGGGUUCGUUAUACCAGACUGGUCUUUUACUGUGAGAAAAUUAGAGUGUUUAAAGCAAACUUCAUAUGUUUGAAUAGAUUAGCAUGGAAUAAUAAGAUUGGCUUUCAUAGUCGAUUUUUUGGUUUGUUUAUGAAAGCAAGAUUAAUAGGGACAGUUGGGGGUAUUCAUAUUCAAUAGCUAGAGGUGAAAUUCUAUGAUUUAUGGAAGAUGAACAAGUGCGAAAGCA
RNAcentral lists this ribosomal RNA (492 nucleotides) under Blastocystis sp. RNAcentral describes it as "SSU rRNA". It matches the Rfam family "Eukaryotic small subunit ribosomal RNA", at positions 460 to 953 of the family's 1831-position model. The record is from RNAcentral. Lineage: Eukaryota; Bigyra; Opalinata; Blastocystidae.